GCCCACUCCCGCACUCUCCUCCCUCUCUUGCCCGCUCUUCUCUUCCCCGCCCCCUCCCACCCACGUCGCCGCCCGCCGCCGCCCCCGCCCCUCAGACCUCGCCGCCGCGGACCUCUUUCCCAUCCCCCCUCGUCACCCCGGAGCAGCCACCGCCGUGCCCGGCCUCGCGUACCAGGACCCCGCUCCCUCUGGCGAUUGGUGACGGCUCCCUCAUCCCCUCUUGCCGCCGCCGGUUCUCCUGGCUCUGCCUGGCUGCGGUGAUGGCGGCGCAAUCGAGCUCGUGGUCGGCCGGCAGACGACACCAGGCGGCGACACGACCAUCAGCCGUCGACUCCAGAGCGGAGGGUCACGGGGCGUGAGGAGAGAGAGUGGUCAGAUGCGUGGCGCAACAGAGGUCCUGCUCUGCUCAUGGGCAAGAAGGCCAUGGAGUAGCUGUCUGGUUCAAGGGCAUGCCGUGGUUGCUCCCUGUGUUGAGCGCGUGGACGUAGGACCCUCCUCACACAGCCAGACAAGAUGCAGCGCUGGGGAAGAAGCACAUAUCUUGGUGCAGCCCCCAUUGUACAUUGCUUGGAAAUCAGCAGAUUCUGUAGUGUAUCCAUAAUAGAACUUAGCAUUAACAUAUUGUUGCUGAUUUGCCUCGAUACAUAUAUAUUUUCCUGGUCAUUUCACUGUAAUGAGUAUUGAUAACUUGCAUAUUAUUUAUCACUGUAAUGAGUAUUGAUAACUUACAUAACUUGGUGCAGCCCCCAUUGCACAUUGCUCGGAAAUUGCAACUUAAGGUAACGAACCUAAUAUAGUAUAAAAAUCUCGGACGUUUGACUCACAAGUAUAAAAAUCUAAAUGUAAUAUAACUAUGCUAGGAGCAGCGUAUCAAUAAUGAUGGACCUGCUGGUAUCUCGGAUGUUUGCCAAUGAUAGAUGACGAUGGCUAGCUCGCAUUGCCAUCAUAUAGUCUAGAAGAAAGGGCAAGGAUUAUAGGAAAAAUAAAGGUACAAUGCUCACAAUAUAUUUUACCUUUUUGGCGAAGUUUUGGUGCUUGCGCAAGAAAAUAACACCAUCAUUAUACCUAGUGCUCAUUUUUUAUUCAGGCAAUUAGCCAUCAGUAGGAAAUGCCAACUAAUUGUACUUUCUUUGUUACAGAGGUGAAAUUACUACUACUUUUUGAAAGCUUUUUUUGUUGCAUGUUCCCCUUUCUUAAUCUUCUGUUUGUUCAAAUGUACAUACAUGUCCUUACACAAUGAAUCUCACCAUGCUAUCAUUUCCUGAAUAAGCUGAGGAUAUAUGUUUUCAAAGCCUCUGUUACGAGUGAAAUGCGGCAAUGGAAGCAAGGAGUCACGGCUUACUUCUAUUCGGAUUCCAUCUCUACUAGGACAAUCCUGAUAUCCUUCUCACCAUUUAUAUUUGAUUCCUUGGAGAUUCAUAAAGAAGGUAUGUGCAAAAUAUCCGAAUUUCAAACAGACCCACACUUGAGGUUUUUUGUUGCAUUUUUUGUAUCUUAUUCUUUUGCAGGAAUGCAUCCAUGGUCUUGGUAUAAAUUUGUUUGGAUGGUUCAGAAUCUUCAGAUGGCAUGGAUGAGACAUAAUUUGUUGUAUUCGGAUAUUUUUCAUGGUUACAGGGUGGAUAUAGAUCACAGGUUGAAUUUCACCGUACAAAAAGCGUUUCCAUGCUUCAGCACGCCGGAUUAAGUUGUCAAGCCCUGUAUGUGAGGAUGGGGAAACAUCAAAGCACCAUGCAGCCGAUCUGGCCAUCGAAUGCAUGGAAACCAGCGAGUAGAAGGUGCUUGUUGACUAUAACCAUUAUCAGAUAGAGCAACAGAAAAAUGCAUGUGCAAGGGUAGCCAUUAGAAAAAUCAGAAAAAAUAAAACAACACAACAAGACCAGCAAGCAGAUACCAACUUUACAUCCGGAUCAACAUCAAAAGACAACGAUGUAAAUCAUAUUUUGAGACAAGAUAUGUUGAUGAUCGUGUUAGUGACACAAUGACACAGUAAAAGUAUGAUGUCCAACAGACAAACAAGUGUCAUUGGAGCUUGAUGGUGAUAUGGAAGGAAUCUCUUCUUUAGGCAAUGACAAACUACUUUUCAAUACCGAUGGUGCAUGCAAUGAUGACUCUGCUUGAUGAUCAUUGCUUUAUAACUGCAACCAUCUAUAUGCUGCAUCUCUUGCUAUAUACUUUGCUCAUUGUAAAUAAUCUAUUGUAGACUUAAACUACUAUGUAUCAUCAAUGGGUUGUCUUAGAACGCUAUAUGUCACCACAUGUUUCCAUUUGCUUAUGCUCAUCACAGACUUCCAACACUGUGUCAGUAUUGAGUUCUCUUAGAACAAUAUGUAUAAACACCAAAUUCCUA
Hordeum vulgare subsp. vulgare (domesticated barley) is the source of this 2347-nucleotide long non-coding RNA. RefSeq lists it as uncharacterized. The record is from RefSeq and is a predicted model, not a curated record. The transcript has 4 exons. NCBI's taxonomy places the organism in Eukaryota, Viridiplantae, Streptophyta, Magnoliopsida, Poales, Poaceae.